Molecule: long non-coding RNA, 1348 nt
Filed under: Helianthus annuus (common sunflower)
Lineage: Eukaryota; Viridiplantae; Streptophyta; Magnoliopsida; Asterales; Asteraceae
Description: hypothetical non coding rna
Source: RNAcentral
GUUGUUAAGUAUGAAAUUUCAAUCUUGUAAUUCAUAUCUGUUUUUAUGUAUAACGAGUUGCGAGUUCUUAGAGAACUCGGCCACUUUUUGACCCUUACAUCAGCUUACAUCUGCUGUAAAAACUGAUUAAUGAUAUUCCCUUUUACAGUGGCUGCCGUAAAUGGAAAAAAACUAGUUUUUUUUAGAAAAGUUGAUUUUUUGAGUUUUGGUAAGGUUUUUUUUUAUAAAAAUUUUUUGUAUGGCUGAAUUUUCUAAGUUUUAUAAAAAUUGUUUUUAUAAAAACAAUUACUGUAUGUACAAAUGGUGCGAUACUAUGUGGUACUAGUCAUGGACUUAUUAAUGAUAGCUUCAACCUCUAGUGGAUCGUAACAAUAACAGUUCUUACUAUAGCUGGAUAUAGGGAAGCCUCAUUUUUGACAUUAAUUACCAUAUUUAGUGAAUAAUUGUGAAAAAAAAACCACUUACAAUCUAGAUUUAAUUUGGAUAAAUCACUGACAACACCGACUGAAUAUUUAAUUAGACUCUUUAUGACAAAAUGUGUAAGACACGUAUUCGAAAAUUUAGUUCAUUAAAAAUCUCUAGAAAAACAAACGAUUUUACAAUCGAUGUUAAUAUUAAGUUGAUGGACGAAAGUCAAAUGUGUUAUAAACCUCACUAAAAACUCAACAAAAAAAACGAUUAAAACUUUUGCAUCAAAGGCUAUAAUAAUUACAUUCAAGUUUUGUUAGCUUUAAGCAACUUUUAGGUUGAUUCAAAUGGCAUAAUCGGCUUUGUAUUAGUCAUUUCUGGUAUUUAUCCAUGAUAGGGAUAAGCUUUUGGUACUGAUUACCGAUAUCAAAUUUUCGGUACCGAAUUUUACGUUCAAUUACCGAUACCGUAACGAAUAUAUUGGUGCCGUUCCUAGUUUUGACGAAUUUCGGUACCGGUGCUGGUUCGGAACAGUACUGGUACCACGUUUAUCCCUAAUCUAUGAUUUACAUUUUGAAAUCUGUUAUUGGGAAAGCCCAAACUCAACCCGUAACUCAGACAACAGGUUAAGACAAAUCAUACGUGAGACUUACAAUUUACUUUCGCAAGCAAAAAUACUUAUUUUUAUGUUGGAUGAUGGUUACGAGAAAAACCUCUCAUUAUUGUAAUGAGACUUACGGUGUUUAGUUUUACAGAUUAAUCACCAUGAAAACUUGUUACGAUCAAAGCCUCAUUAUCCCGUUGAGCAUAGUCUAAACCAGUCUUAGAUUUGUGUUUCUUCAAUUAGUUAGAUUAGUGAACACAUUUUCAAGUCGAAACCUCGUAAGUUUUACAUGUAUUCCACUAUAGAGGGUCGUUCUUUUUGUUCUUUUGUGAUUUC